Molecule: non-coding RNA, 28 nt
Filed under: Mus musculus (house mouse)
Lineage: Eukaryota; Metazoa; Chordata; Mammalia; Rodentia; Muridae
Source: RNAcentral
UCUUUGUCUUCUAUGUUUGCUCUGGUCU